Molecule: ribosomal RNA, 468 nt
Filed under: uncultured bacterium
Lineage: Bacteria
Description: partial 16S ribosomal RNA
Rfam family: Bacterial small subunit ribosomal RNA
Source: RNAcentral
GACGAACGCUGGCGGCGUGCUUAACACAUGCAAGUCGAACGGAAAGGCCCUGCUUUUGUGGGGUGCUCGAGUGGCGAACGGGUGAGUAACACGUGAGUAACCUGCCCUUGACUUUGGGAUAACUUCAGGAAACUGGGGCUAAUACCGGAUAGGAGCUCCUGCUGCAUGGUGGGGGUUGGAAAGUUUCGGCGGUUGGGGGUGGACUCGCGGCUUAUCAGCUUGUUGGUGGGGUAGUGGCUUACCAAGGCUUUGACGGGUAGCCGGCCUGAGAGGGUGACCGGCCACAUUGAGACUGAGAUACGGCCCAGACUCCUACGGGAGGCAGCAGUGGGGAAUAUUGCACAAUGGGCGGAAGCCUGAUGCAGCAACGCCGCGUGCGGGAUGACGGCCUUCGGGUUGUAAACCGCUUUCGCCUGUAACGAAGCGUGAGUGACGGUAAUGGGUAAAGAAGCACCGGCUAACUACGUG